RNAcentral lists this ribosomal RNA (437 nucleotides) under Escherichia coli. RNAcentral's name for it is "bacterial LSU rRNA". It matches the Rfam family "Bacterial large subunit ribosomal RNA", at positions 14 to 490 of the family's 2925-position model. Lineage: Bacteria; Pseudomonadati; Pseudomonadota; Gammaproteobacteria; Enterobacterales; Enterobacteriaceae. The record is from RNAcentral.
AGCGUACACGGUGGAUGCCCUGGCAGUCAGAGGCGAUGAAGGACGUGCUAAUCUGCGAUAAGCGUCGGUAAGGUGAUAUGAACCGUUAUAACCGGCGAUUUCCGAAUGGGGAAACCCAGUGUGAUUCGUCACACUAUCAUUAACUGAAUCCAUAGGUUAAUGAGGCGAACCGGGGGAACUGAAACAUCUAAGUACCCCGAGGAAAAGAAAUCAACCGAGAUUCCCCCAGUAGCGGCGAGCGAACGGGGAGCAGCCCAGAGCCUGAAUCAGUGUGUGUGUUAGUGGAAGCGUCUGGAAAGGCGCGCGAUACAGGGUGACAGCCCCGUACACAAAAAUGCACAUGCUGUGAGCUCGAUGAGUAGGGCGGGACACGUGGUAUCCUGUCUGAAUAUGGGGGGACCAUCCUCCAAGGCUAAAUACUCCUGACUGACCGAUAG